Molecule: ribosomal RNA, 438 nt
Filed under: uncultured bacterium
Lineage: Bacteria
Description: bacterial SSU rRNA
Rfam family: Bacterial small subunit ribosomal RNA
Source: RNAcentral
CCUACGGGGGGCAGCAGUGGGGAAUAUUGCACAAUGGGGGAAACCCUGAUGCAGCGACGCCGCGUGAAGGAAGAAGUAUUUCGGUAUGUAAACUUCUAUCAGCAGGGAAGAAAAUGACGGUACCUGAGUAAGAAGCCCCGGCUAACUACGUGCCAGCAGCCGCGGUAAUACGUAGGGGGCAAGCGUUAUCCGGAUUUACUGGGUGUAAAGGGAGCGUAGACGGUAAUGUAAGUCUGAUGUGAAAGCCCGGGGCUCAACCCCGGGACUGCAUUGGAAACUAUGUAACUAGAGUACCGGAGAGGUAAGCGGAAUUCCUAGUGUAGCGGUGAAAUGCGUAGAUAUUAGGAGGAACACCAGUGGCGAAGGCGGCUUACUGGACGGAAACUGACGUUGAGGCUCGAAAGCGUGGGGAGCAAACAGGAUUAGAUACCCCUGUAG